UAAUGUUAUAUGGGAGCUUUAAAAAAUAACGCUAAAUACAAUUGAGAGAGAGAAACCAACACAACUACCAGUAAAAUCCCUAAUCCCAAAUGAGAUGUAAAAUCCUCUUCGACCUUGCUCUGGCGAUCAACAGGCGGCCCUUUCGUCUUCUUCAAAAUCGUCCACUUGACCGCGACUGCUGGCCAGGAUUCUCGCCUUCUUGUUCGCGAGACUCUUCGAAUUAGCGCCGCUUUGGCCUCUGCUCUACCCGAUGUGUCGCCUUCCUCUCUGCCUUCGGUUGCUGGCCACCGCCAGACUAAUCGCAAGCUCGGCCUGCUCGAGGACGAGUUUAGCCUCCAGCUUGAGAUUGAUUUUCUGCGAGGAACUCGAUGGCCACCGAUGGCAGUACGUCGCUGAGAGUGACCCCUCCAGUCUAAGCUUUAAGAAAGGAUCCUUCCGAGCCCUCAUCUUGAAGAAAUAGAUUUUGGUAAUUGAGAUUCUGAAAUGUUUUUCUCUUAUUUUAUAUUGAGAUUAAUGCAUUCAGAUGUUAUCAUAUUUAAUUUUACAUUGAAUGAAUAAUUUAGAUUUGAUAUUUUUUGUAGAAAUAAAGGCUAUAAAUUAGAGUCUCUGUAAUGCUUAAUUUGAUAGUGUUAUUAGCGCUGUACGUUGGCAAAAUGAUUUUUAGGGACUGAGAUUCUGGCAUUUUUCUUUAAUUUUUUCCAGAUUCAUGCAUUCAGAUGUUUCCACAUUUUGUUUUUUGUAUUUUAUUAAACAUUUUGUUUUUAUUUAACCUUAAUUGAAAUUGCAUUAAAAACAAUUUGGAUUUGUCUGCACUCUACAAUAAGUAGUAAUUAUUCCCAAUGUUUGGUUUUUAAGAGAAUUUUUCUGCUAUGAUUUUUAAGAGAAUUCUUAAGGUAUUACUAUAAAAUUUUCUUAUUAAGUCUCUAAUUUUGUGGUCACUUGAGACUCACCUAAUCUAGUCCUGUCUUCCUCUCUCUUUCUCUCAUCUUGUUGUUGCCACUACUGCCAACCAACAACCAUGCCCAUCUCCGGCUCUGCCCAACAAUUGUAGUGGUCUUGGAGAGACGAUCCGCAGAGGAGAUUGCGCCGAGGCAACACAAAGAUACAUUUCAUCUCCUUCAGGAAUUACUCUGUCCACAAGAGCUGCUUUACUACAAGGAAUGAGUCCAAGUGUUUUUGUAGUCUAUAGACAAGCCAUAGCUACUUUGGUCAUUGCACCAUUAGCUUAUUUCACAAGAAAAAAAUCUGGAGGGUCUUCUAUGGGAUUAAGGAAUUUUAGCUUAAUAUUUCUGGUCUCCCUCAUAGGUGUAGCAAUCAACGAGAACAUUUAUUUUCAAGGUCUAUUAUUUGUUGGAUAUUAUUUUACCAGGAUCUUAGAUCUACUCACAAGUAUGUUUAUUAACAUCCUAAAUAUGAACUUUCUAAAACGAUAAAUUAAACACAUAUAUAGUUUAAGAAACCUUACAUUGGGU
Cannabis sativa is the source of this 1472-nucleotide RNA transcript. It is a transcript of the gene named WAT1-related protein At4g30420-like, with no coding region annotated. The record is from RefSeq and is a predicted model, not a curated record. NCBI's taxonomy places the organism in Eukaryota, Viridiplantae, Streptophyta, Magnoliopsida, Rosales, Cannabaceae. The transcript has 4 exons.